CCUACGGGUGGCAGCAGUGGGGAAUAUUGCACAAUGGGGGAAACUCUGAUGCAGCGACGCCGCGUGCGCGAUGAAGUAUUUCUGUAUUUAAAGCUCUAUCAGCAGGGAAGAAAAUGACGGUACCUGACUAAGAAGCCCCGGCUAACUACGUGCCAGCAGCCGCGGUACUACGUAGGGGGCAAGCGUUAUCCGGAUUUACUGGGUGUAAAGGGAGCGUAGACGGCUGUGCAAGCCAGAUGUGAAAGCCCGGGGCUCAACCCCGGGACUGCAUUUGGAACUGUGUGGCUGGAGUGUCGGAGAGGCAGGCGGAAUGCCUAGUGUAGCGGUGAAAUGCGUAGAGAUUAGGAGGAACACCAGUGGCGAAGGCGGCCUGCUGGACGAUGACUGACGUUGAGGCUCGAAAGCGUGGGGAGCAAACAGGAUUAGAUACCCUAGUAGUC
This 440-nucleotide ribosomal RNA is filed under the name uncultured bacterium. RNAcentral's name for it is "partial 16S ribosomal RNA". It matches the Rfam family "Bacterial small subunit ribosomal RNA", at positions 338 to 795 of the family's 1533-position model. The record is from RNAcentral.